UUAUAACGUAAAAUUAUUUACUGAAUUAUUAUAAGUUAUUGUCUUUAAAUUUAAAAAAUUUGGCGGUAUUUUAAUCUAUUUAGAGGAACUUGUCUUAUAAUUGAUAGUCCACGAUUUGGUAUACUUAUAUUAAUUAGUUUAUAUAUCGUCGUAAUAAGAAUAUUUUUAUAGAAUUUAAUAUUCAAUAAUUUAAAUUUAAAUUAAAAUCAGAUCAUGAUAUAGUUUAUAUAUAAGAAAAUGAUGAGUUACAAUAAAUUUAUUUAAAUGAAUUAGUAAUUUUAAAUUAUUAUGAAAGUGGAUUUAAUAGUAAUUUUAUUGAAUUAUUUAAAAUGAUUGAGCUCUAAAAUAUGC
RNAcentral lists this ribosomal RNA (351 nucleotides) under Passandra heros. RNAcentral describes it as "partial 12S ribosomal RNA". The record is from RNAcentral. Lineage: Eukaryota; Metazoa; Arthropoda; Insecta; Coleoptera; Passandridae.